RNAcentral lists this ribosomal RNA (116 nucleotides) under Bacillus subtilis. The record is from RNAcentral. RNAcentral also lists the same sequence under 1 other name. Lineage: Bacteria; Bacillati; Bacillota; Bacilli; Caryophanales; Bacillaceae.
UUUGGUGGCGAUAGCGAAGAGGUCACACCCGUUCCCAUAUCGAACACGGAAGUUAAGCUCUUCAGCGCCGAUGGUAGUCGGGGGUUUCCCCCUGUGAGAGUAGGACGCCGCCAAGC